CUACGGGGGGCUCCAGUGAGGGAUUUUGCGCAAUGGGGGGAACCCUGACGCAGCAACGCCGCGUGAGUGAAGAAGGCCCUUGGGUCGUAAAGCUCUGUCAACAGGGAAGAAGUUAUGGAUUUUUAAUAGAGAUUUGUAUUGACGGUACCUGUGAAGGAAGCACCGGCUAACUCCGUGCCAGCAGCCGCGGUAAUACGGGGGGUGCAAGCGUUAUUCGGAAUUAUUGGGCGUAAAGGGCGCGCAGGCGGCCUUGUCAGUCAGAUGUGAAAGGCCAGGGCUCAACCCUGGAAGUGCAUUUGAAACAGCAAGGCUUGAGUACGGUAGAGGAAAGGGGAAUUCCUGGUGUAGAGGUGAAAUUCGUAGAUAUCAGGAGGAACACCGGUGGCGAAGGCGCCUUUCUGGACCUGUACUGACGCUGAGGCGCGAAGGCGUGGGUAGCGAACAGGAUUAGAUACCCGCGUAGUC
This 465-nucleotide ribosomal RNA is filed under the name uncultured bacterium. Its description in RNAcentral is "partial 16S ribosomal RNA". It matches the Rfam family "Bacterial small subunit ribosomal RNA", at positions 339 to 795 of the family's 1533-position model. The record is from RNAcentral.